This is a long non-coding RNA of Scylla paramamosain (green mud crab), 2339 nucleotides long. RefSeq lists it as uncharacterized. The record is from RefSeq and is a predicted model, not a curated record. NCBI's taxonomy places the organism in Eukaryota, Metazoa, Arthropoda, Malacostraca, Decapoda, Portunidae. The transcript has 2 exons.
ACGAGACCAAAGCAACAUUAUAUAUAUAUUUUAUUGCAAAAAGCCUCAAAAGUGUGCCAGCGUUACAAAUAUGCUUAGUAGUACUCGUAUAUCUGUAAGCCUACCAGUACUUAUAAUUUCACUUUCAUAUCACAACCCAUGGAUAGUAAGAGGCCUUUUUGUCCCCUGGUGGAGAGCAGAGAACGAGGAUGUGAGUACCUGGCUAGCCUUUCACCUCGUGUAUUCGAGAAGGAUGAGGAGCGAAGCAAUGGGGCAGCGAGUCAGCAGUGGACGUGAGUGACGCUCGAGCGACUGAAUCUGGUUGAGGGUGGCCGUGGUUAGUUACUGAACAUGUGUGUGUAUGGCUCAGCGGUGUCUUUUGUGCUAAGAGGAGGAGGUAGAGUAUAGUGAUUCUUGUUCGUUAUCGUUGUCAUGUUGUUCAUCUUGUUUUUACUUAUAUUUUCUUUGUUAUCGUCUUUGUCGUCAUUUUAUUAUGCAUUUGCUUCUAUUUCUUGUUUCUUUUUACCGUUUCUCUCUCUCUCUCUCUCUCUCUCUCUCUCUCUCUCUCUCUCUCUGAAAUAAUAAUAAAAAAGAAAGCUAAAAACAAGGACAGGCCAAACUGAUUUAUUGUUUAUGUAUUAAGUCCAUUUUCACCUUCUGAAUUAUUGUCUCCAAGUGUCAAUUACUAAGACUCUUCUUCCUCCGCCUCCUCCUGCUGCUGCUGCUAUUAUUGUUGCCGUUCUUGCACACCGGUACACACGCGCCAGUCUUUAUGUAAGAACUCAUCCUUCCCUUCAGUUACCUUCCCUUCAGCAGAUAGAAUCCUUCUCUUUAAGACGGCCCCGGGCAGACAGCUCGGUGGGCAGCUUUCAUGGUCCUCGGAGGGGCGGGAGUGGAUACUUUUCUUAGGGCGAGACGACUGACAAUCAAUACCUGAUGACGCUGAUGACUGGUUUUGUGGGCGUUGUGAAGGCGAGGACGGGGCUGAUGACUAUCUGCUACUUGCUGCCGUGCGUCUUGCCACACUGACUUUGGCUCUUAAUAUACAGCAGAAGAAACAAGCCUGGGAGGAAAUAUGCUGAAAUGGAGAGUUGAGGAGGUGGGCCAGACAUCAGCUCACGACAUUGCUGGAACACGCGGUGUUGCCGCUUCUUCCAUGUGAAGAGCGUAUGGCUUGAGAUACCGGGUAUUUAGCAGUUCUUUUAUUUCCGCUUGUAAAUAAACAAAAAGUACUUCUUAUUCUAUUAGCUAAACUAAGACAAUAAAUGUGAACAGUCAACAGCACAAGACUCGUAUCCUGUUUGCGCGCUAACACGCGGUGUUGCCGCUUCUUCCAUGUGAAGAGCGUAUGGCUUGAGAUACCGGAUAUUUAGCAGUUCUUUUACUUCCACUUGUAAAUAAAUAAAAUGUACUUAUUAUUCUAUUAGCUAAACUAAGACAACAAAUGUGAACAGUCAACAGCACAAAACUCCUCUCCAGUUUGCGCGCGCAUUUCUCUGCUGUGGCGUGUUUUGUGGCUCCUCGCUGAACACUUCUAUCUCUUGACGCUGUGAGUUAGGCUACUUUGACGGUGACUUGAACACUACCACACUGGGCUGCUGUGUGUGUGAGGAAGGUGUGGUGGAGCUGUGAAGUGUGGCUGAGGUGGUGGAGGGAAGCAAGCUGUGUGUUACUCGACAACCAUCACCACCACCACCGCCGCCAUGUCAUCUUCGUCUUCUUCCUUCUCUUUAUUCUUUUCCUCCUUUCCCUCCGCUGACGUGUGUGUGGUGUUCCUUGACCGCCGUCAUGAGAAAGAGAAUAUGCAAGGUAGGUACAGCUCCUACUUGCGCAGGCUUUGACGUCAAAAUUUAAUGUAAUCAGUGUGUGUGUGUGUGUGUGUGUGUGUGUGUGUGUGUGUGGAAGAAACGGGAUCAUAACCGAAAACCAUGUGCAUAAUAUGCUAUACUAAUUUAUUAUGUAAGUUGAGUACUCCUCACACAUACUCAACACACAUCUUCAGUACGUACGUAUGUAUGUUCCUCUCAUCAUCAUUGUGAUGUACAGCUUACUGUAUAUUAUGAGAAAGAAUAAAUGAUUGACUGACAGACUGACUGACUGACUACUACUACUACCACUCUAAUAGCAUAGGAAUAAAGUAAAACACUACUACUACUACCAGUCUAAUAGCAUAGGAAUAAAGUAAAACACUACUACUACUACCAGUCUAAUAGCAUAGGAAUAAAGUAAAACAGUGAAUAAGUGUAAGAAAAGGAAAGUAAUUUUUAAAAUUGAAUGGUGUUUAAGUGAAUUGUUGAUAAGCUUGAUUAAUAAGAAAGGAAUACAUGUGAAGUAAGAAACAAUAAAUUAAGUCAUAGUAA